GAUGAACGCUGGCGGCGUGCCUAAUACAUGCAAGUCGAGCGAACGGACGAGAAGCUUGCUUUUCUGAUGUUAGCGGCGGACGGGUGAGUAACACGUGGAUAACCUACCUAUAAGACUGGGAUAACUUCGGGAAACCGGAGCUAAUACCGGAUAAUAUUUUGAACCGCAUGGUUCAAAAGUGAAAGACGGUCUUGCUGUCACUUAUAGAUGGAUCCGCGCUGCAUUAGCUAGUUGGUAAGGUAAGGGCUUACCAAGGCAACGAUGCAUAGCCGACCUGAGAGGGUGACCAGCCACACUGGGACUGAGACACGGUCCAGACUCCUACGGGAGGCAGCAGUAGGGAAUCUUGCGCAAUGGGCGAAAGCCUGACGGAGCAACGCCGCGUGAGUGAUGAAGGUCUUCGGAUCGUAAAACUCUGUUAUUAGGGAAGAACAUAUGUGUACGUAACUGUGCACAUCUUGACGGUACCUAAACAGAAAGCCACGGCUAACUACGUG
RNAcentral lists this ribosomal RNA (497 nucleotides) under uncultured bacterium. Its description in RNAcentral is "partial 16S ribosomal RNA". It matches the Rfam family "Bacterial small subunit ribosomal RNA", at positions 28 to 507 of the family's 1533-position model. The record is from RNAcentral.